This 158-nucleotide ribosomal RNA is filed under the name Daphnia pulex (common water flea). RNAcentral describes it as "Eukaryotic large subunit ribosomal RNA". It matches the Rfam family "Eukaryotic large subunit ribosomal RNA", at positions 3007 to 3161 of the family's 3401-position model. Lineage: Eukaryota; Metazoa; Arthropoda; Branchiopoda; Diplostraca; Daphniidae. The record is from Rfam by way of RNAcentral.
GUUAUUGCGAUAGUAAUCCUGCGAAGUACGAGAGGAACCGCAGGUUCGGACAGUUGGUUGGCGCACUUGGUCGAGCGGCCAGUGGUGCGAGGCUACGUCCGGAUGAUUAUACCUGAAGGCCUCUGAAGGUAGAAUCGAUGCUGGAGGAAGGCAAUGAU